UGUUAGGCAGAUGAUUUGAGGCCUGAAUGCUGAUUGACUGAAAGCCGUGGAAUGUCAGACCAACAAAAUAUUUAUUUGUACCGCUCUAGUUACGUUGGUAACCAGUUUAUAAUAGCAAUAAGGCACCUCGGGGGGUUGUAAUAUAUUGAUAUACCAAAAGGCAAAGGGCUGUGUUCUAGCACUCCGCGUUGCGUCGUGAUUAAGAACAGCCCUUAGCUGUUGUUUAUUGGCCAUAUACCACACAAUUGCUUAUUGCUUAAAUAUACCGUGUUGAUUUGUUAUUGUGCAUUCCUGCAUCCAGGAGCGCCUUCUUACGGUUUUCCUGCAUGCUCAAGUCAUUGUGCUACACUGGGAGAGCGGAGCAGUACAGCACCGGUUACAUUGGUGACUUCUAGACCCGGAUUCAUCGAUGAUCAACGUCAGCUCGAUCACCGUGGAGCUGCUGCUCUAGAGACUGUUUACAUCAUGAGCAGCAGGCGGGUCCGAGUCUGCUGAUCAGUGUGAUCAAAGACCUCGUGGAAGACCUCAAUCUGAUAGGACACAGCUUCCUGGACUUGCUCAGCUGACCCACCCUGCCCUUUUCACUGUCCGUCUGAGCUGGAUUCAAAUAGUAUUUGCUUUCUUUCAAAUACUUUGAGCAUUUGAUUGAUCCGGUCUGAUGCACGGUUGCACAUUAUGGGACUAUUGGACGGCAGGUGAAGUAUUUUAAAAUGAAAGGGAUGUUUAUUUAAACCAGGUCUGAUGCUGAUAACCAUUAUUAAAGGGACAUGCCACUUUGUUGGCAACACAUCUCUCUCUUUCUGUGUUUCGCACUCAAAGCUCCCAUCCAUCUGAACUAAGAUGUGACUGUUUUGAGUUGUUCAAUAUGUUGGGUGAUAUUCAACAAAUAAAUACGCUUUCUAUUGCUUUA
Long non-coding RNA from Oncorhynchus tshawytscha (Chinook salmon), 910 nucleotides. The record is from Ensembl. Lineage: Eukaryota; Metazoa; Chordata; Actinopteri; Salmoniformes; Salmonidae.